Molecule: non-coding RNA, 1770 nt
Organism: Chlorocebus sabaeus (green monkey)
Lineage: Eukaryota; Metazoa; Chordata; Mammalia; Primates; Cercopithecidae
Source: RefSeq, a predicted model, not a curated record
UUACAGGCAUGAGCCGCCAUGCCCAACCCCAGGCUAGUCUUGAACUCCCGGGCUCAAGUGAUCCUCCUGCCUUGGCAGAGCAUCAUAUUCUGAUCAACACUAAGUCAGGAGCAAAUGCCUAAGAGGACCCUUGUUGUUCCCUGAUAGGACUCCCUGCCUUUGCUCCGGGUUGCAACCUCUACCUGGUUAACCCUCAUAAGGCUUAGUACCACUCUGCCUGCCCACAUCCUGCUCUGUCCUUCAAGGCUCAGGAUUAAGGCCACCUCCUCCAAGGAGUCCUCCUGGGAGAGUACUGAGUCCCACGGCCCUAUGUGGAAUUCUCAAAUGGUACUCCCCUAUAGUAACAAGCACCCUGAUCACUUUUUGAGAAAGCAUUAGGUGCCAAGCACUUCACAAGCAUUAUUGAAUUCACACAAGAACUCUGCUGUUGUUAAUUGGUUUGAUUUUGGGAAGGGGAAACUGAGGCAGAGUAUACAGUCAUUUGCCCAAGGUCACACACCUAGGAAGUGCUGGAGCUGGGGCUGCAAGCAGGAUCUGUAUAACUUCAAGACCUGCGCUGGUAACCAAUGUGUUGGCGCUGUCCAGCCCAGCCCCCCGGGGUGACCACUGGCUCUGUUCCCAGCUCAACUGCCCCCUCUCCCUUCCCCAGGAGCAUCUUGAGGGCCUUGGCCACCUCAGCCCUCAGCAGCACGUGGUUUACAGUAGGCACUCAGCCAUGACGUCUUCAGUCCCUACAGUGUGGGACACAGAAGCUCCAGAUGCCAGGCUCAGAAAGCCGGAAGAAGUUCUUAUCCGGCUGGAUUCAGUCUUCCCUAUCUGUAGUGGAGACUAUUGUCUGCCCUGGUGUCUUUUCUAGCUGCACAUAUGAUCACCUGGUAUAAAGACAUUUCCCAGCCUCUCUGGCAGCUGCAUGUGGUCAUGUGACUACGUUCAGGCCAACAAAAGAACAGGCUAACAUCAGGAUCUAUCUCGAAGCCAGACCUAAAGGGGACUCCCCAAUGCUUGCUGGACACCUGAGGGAGGCACCCCAGCUGCUCACCUGGUGAUCUUGGGCAGGGAGACGAGCUUGCCUGCGGUGGUGGCGGCGUGGAAGCUGUGGGCGCCAAAGGUCUCCAUGGCGAUGACAGGCACGUCCCCCCAGCCCACCUCCUGCAGCCCCUGGACCACUCCACACAGCAGGCCCCCACCGCCCACUGACAGCGCGAUGGCCCCCGGCUUUUCCCACAGUGCCUCCUUCAGCUCUUUCACGAUGGAAGCGUGGCCUUCCCUGGAGGGUGGGGAGAGGGGGUGGCGGGUCAGGGCUAGGCUUCCUGGAGACACCAGCUCAGGUUUGCACCAGCCUCAUCCCAGCUGAUGGGGCCUGAAGCUACUUCCCUCCCCACUCGCCACCUCGGCUUCCAGCUGCCAGCAUCUGUGUCUCUACCUGAGGACUUUCUCUGGCCACCUGAGCUACCUGCAAACAGAGUCAGGAGAUGGCAGCCCCUUAGAGGAGCCCUCAACCAAUGGCUGCGGGUCGGCGAACAAACUCCCCUGCUCCUUCUCCCAGGGAGAGGGAAACUGUGGCCCACCUUCUAUACUGGCUCCCAGGGUCCCCAAGGGAUUAAGCUCCAGCCACCCACAGUGGCCACCUACCCUUGAAAGUCCCCUUCCUGACAUUUUGGGCUGGACGAUAGAAAAAGAAAAAAGAAAAAAGCAAGCCCCCUGCCUUCCCUGGCUCACUUCCCCACUCCCCCACUGAAUCACCUCCCAAAUAAACUCCUUUCCCUGAAA